UGGGGAAUAUUGCACAAUGGGCGAAAGCCUGAUGCAGCAACGCCGCGUGAGUGAUGAAGGUCUUCGGAUUGUAAAGCUCUGUCUUUUGGGACGAUAAUGACGGUACCAAAGGAGGAAGCCACGGCUAACUACGUGCCAGCAGCCGCGGUAAUACGUAGGUGGCGAGCGUUGUCCGGAUUUACUGGGCGUAAAGGGUGCGUAGGCGGAUGUUUAAGUGAGAUGUGAAAUACCCGGGCUUAACUUGGGUGCUGCAUUUCAAACUGGAUAUCUAGAGUGCAGGAGAGGAGAAUGGAAUUCCUAGUGUAGCGGUGAAAUGCGUAGAGAUUAGGAAGAACACCAGUGGCGAAGGCGAUUCUCUGGACUGUAACUGACGCUGAGGCACGAAAGCGUGGGUAGCAAACAGGAUUAGAUACCCUGGUAGUCCACGCCGUAAAUGAUGAGUACUAGGUGUAGGAGGUAUCGACCCCUUCUGUGCCGCAGUAAACACAUUAAGUACUCCGCCUGGGAAGUACGAUCGCAA
This 520-nucleotide ribosomal RNA is filed under the name uncultured bacterium. RNAcentral describes it as "partial 16S ribosomal RNA". It matches the Rfam family "Bacterial small subunit ribosomal RNA", at positions 355 to 891 of the family's 1533-position model. The record is from RNAcentral.